Long non-coding RNA from Chelonus insularis, 1603 nucleotides. RefSeq lists it as uncharacterized. NCBI's taxonomy places the organism in Eukaryota, Metazoa, Arthropoda, Insecta, Hymenoptera, Braconidae. The record is from RefSeq and is a predicted model, not a curated record. The transcript is spliced from 3 exons.
CACUCAGUUGAAAAUCGAUUUGACACUCAGUAUAAAUAAUGUCGAGCAAACUCUUAUUAUUUCAUUCAUUUUAACUACUGUUCAAUGCUCAACCGUUUGACUUUCAUUUUUCAGAUACUUGAAUAUUUAUCUAUAAUGCCAUAUAAUUUUUAUCUUUUUCUAUAAAGGAAAUUCUUCUAUCCGUACAUUUGAGAUUAUUCAUGAAUUUAUGGUAUUUUUGAAAAGGAUAUAUAGUAAAAAUUUAUGAAGAUUUUUUAUUAUUCUGAGAAUAACGAAUGCUUAAGAGUAAAUCAGUUAAACAUGAUGGUUAAUCACAUUAGCCAUAACUGAAAAUAGUUAGAGUAUACAUUACAGAAUCAAAAGCUGAAAAAUUAAUGAAUAAAACCUAUCACUGAAAGCAAUUAUAUGACGAUGACAACCAUUAUAGUUAGCCGAUUUAUUGAUCGAAAUCGGUUUAUUGUGUGAAUAAUUCUUUUUCCCACGAAAGAACAGGAAAUAUGUAAGAGAAUAGGAAAAAUGUAUAAAUGUUGAACGAAAGAAAGGAGAUGAGAUCUGGGAUAGAAUCUACAUCAGAUUCGCAUCUAGAAUUUUAAAAUAGAACAUGCAAAAGAGUCUUUGGUAAUACCGAAACCCGAAUCGACGAGAAACCGAUAGUAGUAGAGUCGCGUGGCAAGUCACUUGGUUCCAUUCCCGACGUGACUCUUAGCGGUUUCUCUACGGACAAGAAAACGUAACGGAUUUAGUGCUUCUGAGGAUUCGAUAUAGUGACGUUAGUAUUGCGAAUGUAUGCAAAGAGGACUGAGAACUAAGCAUGAAUUUCAAUGAUUUUAUAUACACCGGAAACACAAACGUGUAUAAAGUUUGGGUACAAUUGAGCGGCUUGGAAGGAUAAAAUGACAAAAUAGGAAAAUUGUAAAGAUAAUAAAAGAAAAAAAGAAUUAAUUUAAAUGUAUACACAAGGUGUACUGUUGAAAUUGUUUGUUAGGCACACCACUUAUGCCCUCAUAAUGCACCCGUAUUUAUUUUUGUGAUAUCAACAUGGUUUCAAAACCAUGUCAAAUGAAAAGAAUCAUCACAAGAAGUUCAACUUCAAGAAGAAGUUAAAAGUUCACGUGAAAACAUUAAAUAACUUCAUUAUGAAACUUACAAUUAUGUAAAUAUGAAAAGAGUCAUGUUGAAUAUGAGUUUAAUAAACGGAAAAUACUACUUGGAAAGAGUAAAAGAGUUUUUGUUGACAAAAAUUACACAUUGAAUCAUUAAAAAUAUUUCAUUUCAACAUUUUUACAUCAAAAUUAAUCUAAAGUAAAGGAAUAGAAAUAUGUAGAUCAUCAAUUGAAUGAAGAAAUUCAUGGAUGAAGAUAAGAAAGAAGAUUGAUUCUGUGAUAAUCAAGCAACCUUUUGUUUGCUACAUAUUAAUAGCUUACAAAUAUAUCUCUUUCACGAAAUUCUGAAUAAUGUCAACUAAAAUAACCUCUCCUACGAAAGUCUAGAGCUGUUUGAAUUUACUUGAAAUCAAAAUUCACAACAGAAAAUCUGAAUGGCAACCAAAAUGAAGUUCCCUUCAACUUUAAUACAGACUGAAAUAAUAGUGAACCACAUUACA